Molecule: ribosomal RNA, 280 nt
Filed under: uncultured soil bacterium
Lineage: Bacteria
Description: partial 16S ribosomal RNA
Rfam family: Bacterial small subunit ribosomal RNA
Source: RNAcentral
AGAACGAACGCUGGCGGCGUGCCUAACACAUGCAAGUCGAGGGAGAAAAGGGGCUUCGGCUCCCCAGUAAACCGGCGCACGGGUGAGUAACACGUAGGUAACGUACCCUAGAGCCCGGGAUAACCAGUCGAAAGACUGGCUAAUACCGGGAUACGACCAUGGAAGCUCCGGCUUCUUUGGUGAAAGACGGCCUCUGUUUACAAGCUGUCACUCGUGGAUCGGCCUGCGCACCAUUAGCUAGUUGGUGAGGUAAUGGCUCACCGAAGGCUGAGAUGUUAGC